GACGAACGCUGGCGGCGUGCUUAACACAUGCAAGUCGAACGGAAAGGCCCUGCUUUUGUGGGGUGCUCGAGUGGCGAACGGGUGAGUAACACGUGAGUAACCUGCCCUUGACUUUGGGAUAACUUCAGGAAACUGGGGCUAAUACCGGAUAGGAGCUCCUGCUGCAUGGUGUGGGUUGGAAAGUUUCGGCGGUUGGGGAUGGACUCGCGGCUUAUCAGCUUGUUGGUGGGGUAGUGGCUUACCAAGGCUUUGACGGGUAGCCGGCCUGAGAGGGUGACCGGCCACAUUGGGACUGAGAGACGGCCCAGAAUCCUACGGGAGGCAGCAGUGGGGAAUAUUGCACAAUGGGCGGAAGCCUGAUGCAGCAACGCCGCGUGCGGGAUGACGGCCUUCGGGUUGUAAACCGCUUUCGCCUGUGACGAAGCGUGAGUGACGGUAAUGGGUAAAGAAGCACCGGCUAACUACGUG
Molecule: ribosomal RNA, 468 nt
Filed under: uncultured bacterium
Lineage: Bacteria
Description: partial 16S ribosomal RNA
Rfam family: Bacterial small subunit ribosomal RNA
Source: RNAcentral